CAGCCGCCGCGGUAAUACAGAGGUCCCAAGCGUUGUUCGGAAUCACUGGGCGUAAAGGGUGCGUAGGCGGCGCGGAAAGUCAGGGGUGAAAUCCCGGAGCUCAACUCCGGAACUGCCUUUGAUACUCCCGCGCUUGAGAACUGGAGGGGAGACCGGAAUUCACGGUGGAGCAGUGAAAUGCGUGGAUAUCGUGAGGAACACUAGUGGCGAAGGCGGGUCUCUGGACAGUAUCUGACGCUGAGGCACGAAGGCCAGGGGAGCGAACGGGAUUAGAUACCCCUGUAGUCCCUGUCUCUUAUAC
RNAcentral lists this ribosomal RNA (301 nucleotides) under uncultured bacterium. RNAcentral describes it as "partial 16S ribosomal RNA". It matches the Rfam family "Bacterial small subunit ribosomal RNA", at positions 509 to 807 of the family's 1533-position model. The record is from RNAcentral.